GGCACUUUGGCGGAGUGGUUAACGCGAUGCCCUGCUAUAUACAAGCUAGGCAUUUCCUUCGGGAGCGUGUGUUCGAAUCACACAGGUGUCG
Molecule: transfer RNA, 91 nt
Filed under: Blumeria hordei DH14
Lineage: Eukaryota; Fungi; Ascomycota; Leotiomycetes; Helotiales; Erysiphaceae
Description: tRNA-Ser for anticodon GCU
Rfam family: tRNA
About the family: Transfer RNA (tRNA) molecules are approximately 80 nucleotides in length. Their secondary structure includes four short double-helical elements and three loops (D, anti-codon, and T loops).
Source: Rfam by way of RNAcentral